RNAcentral lists this ribosomal RNA (496 nucleotides) under uncultured bacterium. Its description in RNAcentral is "partial 16S ribosomal RNA". It matches the Rfam family "Bacterial small subunit ribosomal RNA", at positions 29 to 507 of the family's 1533-position model. The record is from RNAcentral.
AUGAACGCUGGCUGCGUGCCUAAUACAUGCAAGUCGAGCGAACAGACGAGGAGCUUGCUCCUCUGACGUUAGCGGCGGACGGGUGAGUAACACGUGGAUAACCUACCUAUAAGACUGGGAUAACUUCGGGAAACCGGAGCUAAUACCGGAUAAUAUAUUGAACCGCAUGGUUCAAUAGUGAAAGACGGUUUUGCUGUCACUUAUAGAUGGAUCCGCGCCGCAUUAGCUAGUUGGUAAGGUAACGGCUUACCAAGGCAACGAUGCGUAGCCGACCUGAGAGGGUGAUCGGCCACACUGGAACUGAGACACGGUCCAGACUCCUACGGGAGGCAGCAGUAGGGAAUCUUCCGCAAUGGGCGAAAGCCUGACGGAGCAACGCCGCGUGAGUGAUGAAGGUCUUCGGAUCGUAAAACUCUGUUAUUAGGGAAGAACAAAUGUGUAAGUAACUAUGCACGUCUUGACGGUACCUAAUCAGAAAGCCACGGCUAACUACGUG